This 56-nucleotide transfer RNA is filed under the name Aneides lugubris. RNAcentral's name for it is "partial tRNA-His". Lineage: Eukaryota; Metazoa; Chordata; Amphibia; Caudata; Plethodontidae. The record is from RNAcentral.
GUAUAUAUAAUUUAAAUAAAAUAUUAAACUGUGACUUUAAUUAUGAGAGUUAAAAC